Molecule: ribosomal RNA, 253 nt
Filed under: uncultured bacterium
Lineage: Bacteria
Description: partial 16S ribosomal RNA
Rfam family: Bacterial small subunit ribosomal RNA
Source: RNAcentral
UACGUAGGUGGCAAGCGUUGUCCGGAUUUACUGGGCGUAAAGAGCGCGCAGGCGGCCGAGUAAGUCGAAUGUGAAAGCCCCCGGCUCAACUGGGGAAGGUCAUUCGAUACUGUUCGGCUAGAAGAUAGGAGAGGGAAGCGGAAUUUCAGGUGUAGUGGUGAAAUGCGUAGAUAUCUGAAGGAACACCAGUGGCGAAGGCGGCUUUCUGGCCUAUUCUUGACGCUGAGGCGCGAAAGCUAGGGGAGCGAACGGG